RNAcentral lists this ribosomal RNA (454 nucleotides) under uncultured bacterium. RNAcentral describes it as "partial 16S ribosomal RNA". It matches the Rfam family "Bacterial small subunit ribosomal RNA", at positions 28 to 507 of the family's 1533-position model. The record is from RNAcentral.
GAUGAACGCUGACAGAAUGCUUAACACAUGUAAGUCAACUUGAACUUCGGUUUGGGUGGCGGACGGGUGAGUAACGCGUAAAGAACUUGCCUCACAGAUAGGGACAACAUUUGGAAACGAAUGCUAAUACCUGAUAUUAUGAUUAUAUGGCAUCGUAUAAUUAUGAAAGCUAUAUGCGCUGUGAGAGAGCUUUGCGUCCCAUUAGCUAGUUGGAGAGGUAACGGCUCACCAAGGCGAUGAUGGGUAGCCGGCCUGAGAGGGUGAUCGGCCACAAGGGGACUGAGACACGGCCCUUACUCCUACGGGAGGCAGCAGUGGGGAAUAUUGGACAAUGGACCAAGAGUCUGAUCCAGCAAUUCUGUGUGCACGAUGAAGUUUUUCGGAAUGUAAAGUGCUUUCAGUUGGGAAGAAAAAAAUGACGGUACCAACAGAAGAAGAGACGGCUAAAUACGUG